Molecule: long non-coding RNA, 462 nt
Filed under: Panax ginseng (ginseng)
Lineage: Eukaryota; Viridiplantae; Streptophyta; Magnoliopsida; Apiales; Araliaceae
Description: long non-coding RNA (PGIN_LNC010324)
Source: RNAcentral
CUAACCCAAAGUGGAGAUCAACAAACCCAGAUCACCAAGAGCUUUACCGAUUGUCAACUUUGCUUCAGAUCUUAGUCAAAUCAAGAAAACCACCCCUGCAGAAUAAAUUGAAAGAAAAUACGCAACAACAAAAACACCCAGCUUAUUUAUGCAGCAAAAUGGAGGCAAUAGAAUAAAAAUAAUUUAGGGUUUAAACGGAAAUCAGUGAAUUUAAGUACGUGGGGGUCAGAUUCCGGCGAGUAACGACGGCGAAAAUGAAGAUUCCGUCAAAUCGGCGACCAGAAAUAGUUAAAAUAUGAUAAUGUCAUGAUUAUCAAAGUGAAAGUAAGCGCAGUUAAUAAAUAAGUAGAAUUGAAUACGGAGGGAAGCAACCAACGGUGCGCGGCUGUGCGUUAUGCGCAUACCUUCCUUUUUCCUACCUCAAUAGAUGUGUUUGGUUAUAGAGAAAAGUGGACCUUCUAA